ACACAGAGAUAGCUCAGUUGGUAGAGCACGAGACUCUUAUUCUCAGAGUCAUGGGUUCAAGUCUCAUGCUGGGUG
Non-coding RNA from Podarcis lilfordi (Lilford's wall lizard), 75 nucleotides. NCBI's taxonomy places the organism in Eukaryota, Metazoa, Chordata, Lepidosauria, Squamata, Lacertidae. The record is from the annotation of a GenBank genome assembly.